This is a non-coding RNA of Acanthosepion pharaonis, 113 nucleotides long. The record is from the annotation of a GenBank genome assembly. NCBI's taxonomy places the organism in Eukaryota, Metazoa, Mollusca, Cephalopoda, Sepiida, Sepiidae.
UAGGGCCAUACCACGUUGAAAUACCGGUUCCUGUACAACCACCUAAAUUAAGCGACGUCGAGUCUGGUAAAUACCUUAAUGGAUAACCACUUGGGAAUACCAGGUGCUGUAAG